GGCCGCGGGAUUAGAGUUUGAUCCUGGCUCAGGACGAACGCUUGCGGCGUGCCUAAGAAAUGCAAGUCGAGCGGAAGUAGCAAUACUUUAGCGGCGAACGGUCGCGUAACACGUAGCCAACCUGCCCAGAAGACCGGGACAACACUCCGAAAGGGGUGCUAAUACCGGAUGUGCCCAUUUUGCCACAUGGCUUAAUGAGUAAAUCAUUUAUGGCUUCUGGAGGGGGCUGCGGCCUAUCAGCUAGAUGGUGGGGUAAUGGCCUACCAUGGCGUCGACGGGUAGCUGGUCUGAGAGGAUGGUCAGCCGGACUGGGACUGAGAUACGGCCCAGACUCCUACGGGGGGCAGCAAUUAGGAAUCUUGCGCAAUGGGGGCAACCCUGACGCAGCGACGCCGCGUGGAGGAUGACGGCCUUCGGGUUGUAAACUCCUUUUAUCGGGGAAGAAACAAAUGACGGUACCCGAUGAAUAAGCCCCGGCUAACUCCGUGCCAGCAGCCGCGGUAAUACGGAGGGGGCGAGCGUUGUCCGAAGUUACUGGGCGUAAAGCGCGCGUAGGCGGGUGUGUAAGUCCGCUGUGAAAGCCCGGGGCUCAACCCCGGAGGGUCGGUGGAUACUGUACAUCUUGAAGUGGCUAGGGGGAGAUGGAAUUACCGGUGUAGCGGUGAAAUGCGUAGAGAUCGGUAGGAACACCAGUGGCGAAGGCGGUCUCCUGGAGCUUGCUUGACGCUGAUGCGCGAAAGCUGGGGGAGCGAACGGGAUUAGAUACCCCGGUAGUCCCAGCCCUAAACGAUGGAUACUAGGUGUCGGGGGUAUCGACCCCCCCGGUGCCGCAGCUUACGCAUUAAGUAUCCCGCCUGGGGGAGUACGGCCGC
This 872-nucleotide ribosomal RNA is filed under the name uncultured bacterium. Its description in RNAcentral is "bacterial SSU rRNA". It matches the Rfam family "Bacterial small subunit ribosomal RNA", at positions 1 to 889 of the family's 1533-position model. The record is from RNAcentral.